RNAcentral lists this ribosomal RNA (235 nucleotides) under uncultured bacterium. RNAcentral's name for it is "partial 16S ribosomal RNA". It matches the Rfam family "Bacterial small subunit ribosomal RNA", at positions 103 to 334 of the family's 1533-position model. The record is from RNAcentral.
CGGGUGAGUAACACGUAUGCAAUCCACCUGUAACAGGGGGAUAACCCGGAGAAAUCCGGACUAAUACCCCAUAAUAUGGGCGCUCCGCAUGGAGAGUCCAUUAAAGAGAGCAAUCUUGGUUACAGACGAGCAUGCGCUCCAUUAGCCAGUUGGCGGGGUAACGGCCCACCAAGGCGACGAUGGAUAGGGGUUCUGAGAGGAAGGUCCCCCACACUGGAACUGAGACACGGUCCAG